ACUGAAGAAACCCGCCGGCUGCUGGGGCAGGGCGGCGAAAGGUCAGUCGGCCGAGAGGAGUCCGUGGAGCCACCGUUUCAUAGCCUCAGGGAAAGGAUCGGGCGUGCUCACGAGCCCUCUAACCCAUGGCUUAAACACCCGCUUCCUAAGCCUGGGUAAGUGCAGUAGCUCUUCGCUCGAGAGGAGCCACGUGGAAGAGAGUCGGGAGGGGCCCUGCGCCCUACUCCUCCUCUCCAGAAACAGGGAGGGCUGGGAAGGAUUUUCCUGAUUUGUCCCCGGAUUUGGCCGAGUGCACAGAUUUUAAUUCCAGUCUUCUCAUCCUCCUGUAGUUCAACUAGGUGUCUUCCUGGUGAAGCGUGAGAUUGGCAAACCCAGCAGUGAGUGUGCUUCUGAUUUCCCAACAAGGCAAUGACUCCUUGGGUUUGUCCCCAAGACCUUAUGCCUGGAGUGCCCCAAGGAUGUUUCAGUCACCCUCAGUGUCAGGAAUCCCAGACCUUCCUGUACCUAAAGAAGUGACCUUUAAUAGUGCUCAGGGAUUUCAGACCUCUCAAGUGUUUCUGCCGGGGGAAUUCUUAUAAAGCUGUUGGUUACAUGUAAUUAGAAAUAGGGAAGAUUUGUUUUGACUGAAAAUGCUCUUCCCAAGGUGACCUCAUCCAAGUUAAAAAAGACAGCUGUCAUUGCUUUUCUUAGCAGGCAGUGUUGGUUACUCAGAAUUUUCCUGUUGCCUCCCCGACAAUGCCCAACUCCGCUUCCUUGAACCUUGGCUUUUUUUCAUUCCCAGGUUCCAUCCACCUUUUUGCACUUCCUAUCUAUAAACUCUUCGUGGCUGUGUUUUAUCCCCUCUCAUUACGUUGAUCUAUUCCUCACACCACAUACACACCCCAAAAAACUCAAAAUGGAUCGUAGAUGUAAAUGGAAAACCUAAACCUAUACCAGAAGAAAACAUAGGAGGAAAUAUUCGUGACCUUAUUUAGGCAAAUAUUUCUUAAACCAAAAGCGUGAUGAAAAAAAUUGAUAAAUUGGACUUCAACAAAGUAAAAAUUUAUGCUCUUCAAAAGACUUGAAGCCACAUACUGAAAAUAUUUACAAAGCAUGUAUCUGAUGAAGGACUUGUAUGGAGAAUAUAUAAGGAGCACUCAGAAAGCAAUAAUAAAACAGUUCGUUGUUUAAAAAUGGGCAAAAGAUUUGAAUAGACACCAAAGAAGAUACACAAAUAGCAAAUAA
Molecule: long non-coding RNA, 1224 nt
Filed under: Homo sapiens (human)
Lineage: Eukaryota; Metazoa; Chordata; Mammalia; Primates; Hominidae
Description: HSALNT0294238
Source: RNAcentral